This is a non-coding RNA of Sus scrofa (pig), 3002 nucleotides long. Lineage: Eukaryota; Metazoa; Chordata; Mammalia; Artiodactyla; Suidae. The record is from RefSeq and is a predicted model, not a curated record.
UUUUUUCCUUUUUCAGAUUCCUUUCCAUGAUAGGUUAUUACAAGAUAUUGACUAUCAUUCGCCUACUAUAUCAUACUGUAUAAUUCUGUGCUAAAUGCUCCACAUUCUUACAACAACUUCAUGAGUGGGAUAGUAUUAUUGUCUCACGUUUAUAGAUGAAGAAAGCAGGACUGGGGAAUCCUUCACUGACGGUCAUACAGACGUACGUGGUAGAGCUUCCAUGCAAACCAAGGACAGUCUGUAUUUUUGCAGCACAAUAAGGAGCUGUAGAAAGCAUGGUGAGAGCAUCCGUAGGAGUACAGAGUGGUAAUGGAAAGUUAAUGGGCGAGAUGGCAAUCUCCUAUUUAGGCAAAUUGUUCUUUACGGCGGAACGCACCCCCUCACCUAGCCUGUUCUCAGGAGCCAGAAAAUAUACGGUGCUUGAUUGGAGGAUAAGAGCAGUGUUUAUCCAGAGGGAAGACAAACCAGGCCCUACUGAAAAUGAGGGAACCAAGAUUACUGUGAAAUUCAGGAGAAGAGUGAUGAUGGUUGAAGUCCACUCUCUGAAACUAGAAAACCAAACAUCAUUCCUAACUUUAAAAGGGGUGGGGGCCAGUUUUGCUUUGGAAUGCUGGCAGACCAAGAGGAGGCUGUCCACCGAUUUGGGAAAAGGAGAGAAAAGUUAGUCCUGUGUUGCUAGGCAACACAGUCCCAUGCUGAGUGUUCUUCCUUUCUUAAAGGACUGGUGCAGUGUUUUGGUUCAGCAAAUACUAGCUAUUCUGGUGAAUCAGAAGGACCGUUCUCAGAAUAAGACUGGCAAAGCCAGAAAGAGCCCAAAUGCAGGCAAUUAGAAUAUGAUUAUUGGCAUGGACCUUUGGGCAUGGAAUAAGGUGUAUGCUAGGUGGGGUGAAAUAAUGCCUACCUAAUGCUACCCCGACCAAAAAAAGGUUUUAUAUGACCCACAUGAUUCCUAAUUAGGGCCUCGAGUCUGAAGGAAUUAUAGAUGCCCAAUAAAAAUUUAUUGCAAAAGAUAAAAUGACUCACAGAAGACAAAUGGCUGAGUGGCUGACAGCAAAGAAAGUGAGGGGGCGUCAUUUGGAAAAGGAUCCCGGAUGUGUGUUCCAGGGUCACGUCCCCCAGGGGGCUGUCCCUUGUAGGUCAUGCCUUCACAAACACGCAAGAUUGGUCGCUGCCAGUUCUCAGGUGUUGACUCUGACCCCGCCGUGGAGGGGGCUCCAGCGGGACAGAUAAGGCGCAGCCUUACGGUUGGCUAAACAGGGGAUCGAGUUUGUGGUCUUUGAGAUGAAAGCCCCUGGGGGUCUCCCUCUCCGCACAGCCACUCCAUCAACUUUCCUAAUUUGGAAUCAGACUUCAGGCUGGAGGGAGGGAAGGAAAACACUCUCUGCGCUGGAGGAAAAGGGGAGGAUUUGAUGAAUGCACAGAUAGGGAGGGAGCGGUUCUCAGGGCAAAGCAUCUUUGAUCAGUGGUAUGAAGACGCAUCUUUCAACCCCCCCUCAGAUUCCAGCCACUUUCAAGGGACAAAAAGAAGCUGAUUCAGAGCCCAGCUGUUGUUAUGAAAACCAAACCAAAACAAGAAAAGGGAAAGAAGGACGGCAAAAUACCAUCUCAAGUGGAUGAUCUGAAGCAGCAACGAAUGGUGAUGGUUCUCAUCAGAAUUCAUCUCAGAACUGGAGGGGGGCUGUUUGGGCCACUGUGCUGGAAGAAAUACAGGUCUUCUGGGAGAGCUGAGGAGAUUUUGUUAUUGGUCCUUUUCCUGUAGAAGGGCACCUCCUGUGUCCGUGUAGGUGGACGUUCUCUGGAAAGCAAGUUGACCUCUCAAAUAACAGUGACUAACUUUGAUUCAUUGCCCACUGGGUGCACCGCACUCUCCUGUGGGUUAUCUGAUUUGAGCAGUCAUUUUCUUCAGAGCAUUUAUACUGUAUGAAAUUGCUGCCAGAAAAUACAGAUCCUCUGUGCUUACAUUAGCAACGGAUGGGCAGAUGCCUUGAGGAGAGUGAGUGAUCCUUGGAUCUCCUGUGCUCCCUGCGUGAGACGUUGUCCAAAUGGGUCCUUCGGAAGGCAAAUGUCAGUUUUUGACGUCUGCCUUUUCUAGAAAUCUGUUUUACCCCUUGUUUAUUCUCUUUCUGUUGAACAGCACAAGCGUGAAUUGAAAGGUUUUGGAUGUUUGAUUUUUUCCAAUCCUCUCUAUGAAGUAUUUGCAUGUAUAUGCAUCUUUUUUUUAAGCAACUAGAUGUGGUUUGUGUUCAGAAGGUAUACAAGCACAAAUGCAGGAACACAGGGUCCUUUCUCGCUCAGAUCCUUUCUGUGGGUUUGCGUGGAUCAUUUGUGCCUGGCUACUAGAAUGUUCCUGAUUGCUGCUCUUUUCUCUUUACUGUAGCUCACUCUGUAGCUGGUUGAUCUAGUACUUUCACUCUCAAAACUUAAGGAGUUUCAAAGUUCUCCAGCAGAAUUGCCCAGUAUUUGUAAAGUCUGCUCUCUGCCCCUCAGAAGAAGAAACUGUGCGUUUCUACAUGCCUGUCCUCGAAAGUAAAUCGGAAUCUUACCAGGCAAGAAUUGUCACGCUAGAGAGCUGCCUGUAAUGAGGACUCAGCCAUUGAUAAUUCUCCAUGGUCACUUGUCCUGCAAAGUGUCUGAUCUGCAGGGCUCUUAGGCUGUACCUGAUGCCAAGGUGACGCCUCCAUCUCAGCUGCCAGUCAAAGCAAGCCAUGUCAGGAGUGACCAGAGCGGGGCCAGGACAGCAGCCUAUCUGCCCAGCUCGGGGGCAGGCUCCUCCGGCUGGUCCAUGGGAGCCCGGUGGUCCAGAGACCUGCUUUGAUCAGAUGUAGAGUCCAGAUUUCACAUGAUGCUCUGCACUGGGGCUGUGUUCUCUUGGCUUUGAGUGGUGAUCCUGUGUCCAUUGCUGGUCGGUGCAACCCUUUCGGUUGCCUUCGUCUGGUUUUCCACUCUGCUCCCCAGGGCUUGGCCUGUCAGUGCACUGCUGCGGGGGUGGGGUGGGGUGGGGG